AGAAGAUGUCAAGGGCGCACGGCGGAUGCCUUGGCACAGGAAGCCGAAGAAGGACGCGGCAAGCCGCGAUAGUCUGCGGGGAGGGGCAAACACCCUUCGAUCCGCAGGUUUCCGAAUGGGGGAACCCAGCAGGGGUCAUGCCCUGCUACCCCGGGCCGAAUCAAAUAGGCUCGGAGGAGGCAACCCGGGGAACUGAAACAUCUAAGUACCCGGAGGAACAGAAAUCAACCGAGAUUGCGCGAGUAGCGGCGAGCGAAAGCGCACCAGCCCAAACCCAUGCACGUGCAAGCUUGAGGGCGUUGCUGCAUGCGGUGUUGUGGGACCGGCCAUUCCCAGGGCCUCAGACCUGGGACGGAGUUACAAAGCUGCGCGGUAGCGGAACGGCAUGGAAAGGCCGGCCGCAGCGGGUAAGAGCCCCGUACGCGAAACCCCGCAGCCUCCGAGGCCGGCACCCGAGUAGUGCCGGACACGUGAAAUCCGGUACGAAUCCGGGGGGACCACCCUCCAAGGCUGAAUACUCUCCUGUGACCGAUAGCGAACCAGUACCGUGAGGGAAAGGUGAAAAGCACCCCGAGAGGGGAGUGAAACAGUACCUGAAACCGUGCGCCUACAAGCAGUCGGAGCACUCUUGCAGUGUGACGGCGUGCCUUUUGUAGAAUGAGCCAGCGAGUUGCGGUAAGCGGCGAGGUUAAGGUUGGAACCGAGCCGCAGUGAAAGCGAGCCUUUAAGAUGGCGAACAUAGUCGCUUGCCGCAGACGCGAAGCCGGGUGAGCUAUCCAUGGGCAGGCUGAAGCGGGGGUAAGACCCCGUGGAGGGCCGAACCCACUUCGGUUGAAAACGGAGGGGAUGACCCGUGGAUAGGGGUGAAAGGCCAAUCAAACCCGGAGAUAUCUCGUUCUCCCCGAAAUAGCUUUAGGGCUAGCCUCGAUCGUUCAGUGCCGGAGGUAGAGCACUGGAUCUUCUAGGGGGCUUCACCGCCUACCGAAAAGAACCAAACUCCGAAUACCGGCACUUAAGAGAUCGGGAGUCAGAGCAUGUGGGCUAAGCUGUGUGCUCGAGAGGGAAACAGCCCAGACCGCCCGCUAAGGUCCCCAAGUUCAUGCUGAGUGGCAAAGGAUGUGCGUUUGCCUAGACAACCAGGAUGUUGGCUUAGAAGCAGCCAUGCAUUUAAAGAGUGCGUAACAGCUCACUGGUCAAGUGGACAUGCGCCGACAAUUCACGGGGCUAAGCAUGACACCGAAGCGGCGGACUGAUUUAUCAGUGGUAGGGGAGCUUCCCAUGGGGGGCGAAGCCGAGGGGCGACCCUCGGUGGACCGCAUGGGAGUGAGAAUGCUGGCAUGAGUAACGAGAGAGGGGCGAGAAACCCCUCCGCCGUAAGCCUAAGGGUUCCUGGGCAAGGCUAAUCCUCCCAGGGUCAGUCGGGAGCUAAGGCGAGGCCGGAAGGCGUAGCCGAUGCACAACGGGUCGAUAUUCCCGUACCGCUGACGAGCGUUUGACCGACGGGGUGACGGAGAAGGGUAGCCGGGCGGGGUUCUGGACGUCCCCGUGAAAGCGCGUAGGGGGGCUCGCAUGGAAAUCAGCGAGCCACAUGCCCCGAGACGCGAGACGAAGGCAUUAGCCGAAGUCGGCGAGCCCAUGCUUCCGAGAAAAACCUCUAGGGAGCUUUGUCGGCGCCCGUACCAAAACCGACACAGGUAGGCGGGUAGAACAUACCGAGGCGAUCGGGAGAACCAUGGUUAAGGAACUCGGCAUACUGGCUCCGUAACUUCGGGAGAAGGAGCGCCCUUUCCGGUGAAGGCCCUCGCGGCCGGAGCGGGGAGGGGCCGCAGCGAAACGGCCCAAGCGACUGUUUAUCAAAAACACAGGACUCUGCUAAGCCGCAAGGCGACGUAUAGGGUCUGACGCCUGCCCGGUGCUGGAAGGUUACGCGGAUGGGUUAGCGCAAGCGAAGCUCUGAAGCCAAGCCCCAGUAAACGGCGGCCGUAACUAUAACGGUCCUAAGGUAGCGAAAUUCCUUGUCGGGU
RNAcentral lists this ribosomal RNA (2024 nucleotides) under Odoribacter splanchnicus. RNAcentral describes it as "partial 23S ribosomal RNA". It matches the Rfam family "Bacterial large subunit ribosomal RNA", at positions 1 to 1977 of the family's 2925-position model. The record is from RNAcentral. Lineage: Bacteria; Pseudomonadati; Bacteroidota; Bacteroidia; Bacteroidales; Odoribacteraceae.